UACGAAGGGGGCUAGCGUUGCUCGGAAUCACUGGGCGUAAAGCGCACGUAGGCGGCUUCUUAAGUCAGGGGUGAAAUCCUGGAGCUCAACUCCAGAACUGCCUUUGAUACUGAGAAGCUUGAGUCCGGGAGAGGUGAGUGGAACUGCGAGUGUAGAGGUGAAAUUCGUAGAUAUUGGGAAGAACACCGGUGGCGAAGGCGGCUCACUGGCUCGUAACUGACGCUCAUGCACGACAGCGUGGGGAUCAAACAGG
RNAcentral lists this ribosomal RNA (253 nucleotides) under uncultured bacterium. RNAcentral's name for it is "partial 16S ribosomal RNA". It matches the Rfam family "Bacterial small subunit ribosomal RNA", at positions 524 to 776 of the family's 1533-position model. The record is from RNAcentral.